GACAAAAACCAUCUGGGUUAUGACAGACAUCUUUGACCUAGUGCUUAAAGGAAACAGGCCUUGCCUCCUGUCAUCACAAGGCACAGAAGAAGAGGGAUGACUAAAGAUGGAACUUUGGUAAUUUUAGCCAGAGGAAGGUGCAAAACUGAACUGAUCUAACCUUUGACCAGUCUCUACUCCACCACCUCACCUUUAGAUGCUCUACCGAAACUACAGGCACUGUAAUGGAACCUAAAGCAUUUAUUCUUUUUGAGGGAAUGGGGGUAAAGUAGAAGAUACUUUAGCCUCAGAUCUUAAUCUUAAAAAGCCUCUGAUAUUUUAAUGAUGACACUUAGUUCUCAACAAUUAGUCAUAAACUUUUAAACCUGGUAUUUCAUAGAAGUUUGAAAACUUGAUAUACAGCACUUGCAAUACAAGGUUGCAAUGUAUUUGUCACAUCAGGUCACCACUGUACCAGGUGAGUAGUUUCCACUCCCCUGUUCUCCACCAACCCCAUUCACCAAUCCCAGGUAGAUAUCACAAAAACAGCUCAACAACUUUUAACUUUCAUAAAAAUAAAAGUACAUAGGUAUAAUCUCUAUAUAAUUUUAACUGUUUAACAGGAUUUAAAUAUCUGCCUGUGUUACCACAUGUGAACACUUUCAUAUAAAGUAAGAAUUACAGAUGGAUUAAGACUGCAGGAUCAAGAGAAUAUGUUAAUAUGUAACACUAUUGCAAUUUGUCCUCCAUGAUCAAUAUCAAGCAUCAAGAUGAGGCAUUUUCAAUAUAGGAGACCAAUUUUAAGGCACCUAAAAAUUCUUCGUUACUGAAAACAGUCUGUCUCCUAUGCUUGCACUUGAGUAUGGAAUUAGCAUGCUUAGCAGCACAGCCCAUAAACAGUUUUACAUGCUCAUAUAUACAGCUGUGGUCAAGGAAUUAUAUUUAUAAUGAGAUCACACUGAACACAUAUUUAAAGAAAACAGUUUAACCUUGUAAGCAUAAGGAAAUGUGAUGCCUAUUGAGCCAGACAGUUGAUUCAUUCUGAGUAUUAACCCUCCCCAAAUACACAUUAUGAGAUCUCAAUAUUAGAAUUGAGCAAUAACCCCCAACUGCUGAAUAAUUAAAUCAGCCCCCACUGUACAUUGUCUACAAGUGAGUAGGAAACAAAAGGUGAGCUUUUAGCAUUUUGGCAGACAGGUGAUAAAUCCACCAGCUGCAGCAAGUACUUUCUGCAAAGCUCUCAUGAUAAAUAUAGCAUGUGCCAGCUGGGGUUUUUUUGGUUGAAUUAUACUAUAAUAUGAUUCAGUUACUCUUAGUAAUUAUGAAUUUUGUAUACUGCCAGUACCUGCAUCUGUCUCUCAUCCUGCUAAUUUUUUUCUUUAAUGAACAACUUAAAAUAAGCAGCUACAGCUGCCAAACAUUACACAAGUGCAGCCAAGAAUAAUGUUUUAGAAAUGGAGGAAACUUCUUUAUCUCAAAUGCUGUGCAAUUCACUGCAUGUACUCUACAGGAUGCAGGGAAAAGAAGGCAGUCAUGGCCAACAUUUCAUACACUGCCACCAAAAAAGGUCAUUGCUCAGAGGCAGAUUCUUUUCAACUACAGAAGAGAUAAAAAUGAGAACUCCAAACCCCACACAUGGCUACAGGGAUUCCCAACUAUGACACAGAAAUGUGUGAGAGGCAGAAACGCGAACACAGACACCCAAAAUAGCUGCAAUCAGACGACUUAAGCUAAGUAUUUCAAUUUAAAAACAAUAUGGCAAGGAUUCCCUUUUUUUAAGUACUGACAAUAAUAAUUCAAGUGAAUAUUAAAAAAAUUAAGCCAUUCAGUAUAGUUAUUCAAAUAUAAUGGAUUUAUACUACAACAAGUAUUUUUGUUUUUUUCCCCCCAAAAAGCUGAAUCUACUAGACAUAAUGGCAGAUGGGUAGGAUUAUUAAUUUACUAAUUCAUACUAUGUAUUAUUAUUACAUUUUAUUACAUUUUUAUUUAAAGAGUUCAGAUUUUUAAAGUUCCUCAAAUGUUACAUGGAAGUACAGUUAUCAUCUUUAUCAUUUAAGGUAAUGCUUAUGAAUUGUUUCAUGUACUGUUUCGUAGAAGAACAGACCUGUGCAUACCUAUUUCUACCCAAUUCAAGCUAAACCGUACCUUAACCAAGCAAACAUCCACGUCUGACAGGCCAAAGCAAUAUUCAUGGCAGAGCUGAGAAAACUGUCAAUGCCCUGUCAAGUUUUCAAGUUAGAAGACCUACCUUUUUCUCUGUCUGCAGUUUUCCAGAUCUACUCCAAUGAAGUGCAUUCUAUGGAUAAUUCAGUUAUUUGAUUCAGUAUGACACUUUGCUUAUCCAAGUGAAUCUUAUCCUGAUGCCUGCUCCAAACAGAAUCAUGUUCAACAAAGAUAAGCUCGUGGUGUUGGCCACUGGUGCAGAGUCUGUACAUGUAGUUAGAACUCGAAGUAUCUACAAUGGAACAGUGAUCCAUGUCGCAAGCAGCACUGACGUUCUCAUUUACCUUCAAGACUGACUUUGGCACAAGGAUAGUGAAGCAAAACCGGUUCCUUGCCCUCCUGCAAGGUGAAGGUGAGGUCUAUUACCAAUAAAUCCUCCUUAAGAUGCAUAAAGCAUCUUAAAAUGCUUAGAGGGAAGAAAACUUCUCAUAAAUUAAGACUAUAAUAUAUUUUUAUGAAGAAAAUGGUGCAAUUUAGUCUACAAGUUCAACGCAUUGCCUACUGUUUCAGCAGUGAUUCUGAAUUUCAAAUUCAGUUUUAUCAGCAACUUUAUCAUGUUUAACUUGAAUGAGAUCCAAACGUCCAGGGAAGCACAGAAUAAUUUUCAAUGAAGCCUGGAACUAUCAGUUAACUUAACAACAUUUUUAUCUACAGGUUUUUCAUGGAUUCUCAUUUAAUUUACAAAAUCAUUACUCUGUUCUAUUGUUACAGGUUGCAAAAUUUACUUUUCCUUCUUAAUUUUUUUAAAAUCAAAAAUCACCUAACAUUCACUGAUGUUUCUUCAUUGCUUAGAAGUAUUUAUUUAAUACCUUCUUCAUACAUACGGAUUACACCUCACCAACAGAACACUUCCAGACUUAAAAGGUGACAAAUGAGGAGCACAAUGUGGAAAAGUUAGCAGCAGCUGCUGGGAACUUAAUAAAGAAGCCACAAUGUUUCCUUCACAUGGAAAAUGAAAACAAGGAGGACAGAAGUGGAGAAACACCAAGAGAUCAUGAAUUUAAGGGGCUCCUCUGCCUCCUGUCGUUCUGGACUUCCCACUGGUCCCAGCCCGCUCUGUGCCCUCCGCUCCUGACCGCUCCAGCACCAGCGCUGCAUGUUGGAGCUCUCCCGGCCGCUGCUGUUGCCAUUGUUGUUGCUUUCUGUGUGACAAUGCCGCAGGGGCCACGUGGAACUGCUUUGCUGGCUCAGCAACACAGAAGUGGACAGAGUGAUUUUCUGGGUGAGAUUCUUUAUUAAUGUGUGUUUGUUGUUUUAUUUUGGUUUUGCCCUUUUUUUUAGUAAAAUUUGUUACUUUGUUUAUACUCCUUCCUUUUAAGUCCCAUUAUUUUUAAUGGAUAGGAUGCAGGACCUCCCAUUGAAGGUCCCACCUCCUCAGUAACAUUGUCUUUAACCCAAGACAACCCCUAACAGAGCAGGAAGAAAACAGUUUAUAACACAAAGCGUUCACAGCUAGGUGCAUUUUUUGUAUCUUGUUCAUUAAUAGACUUCCCAGUUUGAAAAAUUCAGGACGUUUUAGCCAGAGCACUAAAUUAAGAAUUGUCUGCUUUGUUUUGUCUCUGAGUUUGAAGAGCAACUCCAGGCUAAAAGGAAGUGUUUAUCUUUUUAACUGCUCAACAGUGUUGAACUGUUAAGCCGAAACAGAAUCAGUUCUAAGAUCCUCCGCUUAUUCCCACAGACAUUAACUAAACUGGGUUUCACCUACUGAUGGCUACAACCUCUGGAUGGGUAUUAAAGUUCUGCCUUGGAACCAAACACAAUUUUCCAAAAGUCUGACUGGAACUGAAGCUUAGCAUUAAAACACAAAGAGCCCAUAUUAGACAAGAGUUUACCAAGCCCUAUAUCCUAUUUUCUAAAGGGGCAAAGAGCAGAUACUUUAGAAUUGUGAAAAUAGGGGGUCUAAUUUUUUUUGAUCAACAGGCUUAUCAAGACUUGCUGGAUUAGGUCCUGUACUUUAGGAAGUUUUGGUGGAUCCCCCUGUUGUGCAUGUUACUGUUUUCAUAUCUAUACUUCUGGUAUACACAUGACAGUUUAAUCACACAUUGUAUAUAAAAAUUUCUUUAAAGGCCUUUCCACAUAUCUAGAUUUCUUUGUUGACUCCUCCUGCACUUUCCUAGUUUUCCUAUGUCUUGUCUGAAAUGGGCUGACCUAAACUGCACAUGAAGGGGCAUUAUGUUUAAAGGCUUUUUUUUUUUUAAACUCCCAUUAUGAACAUCCUAUUAAUUGUAUCGAGCACCACUGAGGAUUGUGUGAAAGUGUGGAUCUCUCUUAAGAACACAAUCUCCUAAAUUGGUUUUUGACUGGUAAGACUAAACUCAGCAGCCAAUAUGGUAUGUUUGAAUUUUUUCUGCCAUUUUAUAAUAGACUAAUAAACAUAUUUUCAAAUUUUUCCAGACUGCAGACUUUACCCACUCAUUACUCAGUCACUUUUUCUGAACACAGAUCUCUCUCUCGGUGCCUUAUGUCCCUCAUAGAACAAAAAAGUCCCUUUAGUUUAGCUGUUCUUUCCUAGCCAUUUUUAAGUGAUAAAUUCAUAACAGAACCUUCCUUUUCAGUCUGACAGCAGAAUUUGUUAGUAUGUAUGUGAUAAGAAACUGUCAAAAAUUUUGGAAAAUUCAUGUUCAGGUACAGUAUUAUCACUUCGAUCACAUUUAUCCAGGCACUCAACAUAUUGUUUGAAAUUUAUACUCUAUGACAAGCCUAAGUAAUGUCAUAUCCCAGUUUGCUAUCUAUGCGUUACUAAUUUUAGUACAACAGACAUAAAAGAAGCCAGCUCGUGCAUGUGUAUAUGCCUGUGAGAAUAUGCAAUCAGGCUCUUCACAACUGUAAGUGAUGAAAGUAUUCUAAUUUCUAAGAAAUAUCUUUAUCCAAUGACUUACCUGACU
Long non-coding RNA from Pseudopipra pipra, 5087 nucleotides. RefSeq lists it as uncharacterized. The record is from RefSeq and is a predicted model, not a curated record. NCBI's taxonomy places the organism in Eukaryota, Metazoa, Chordata, Aves, Passeriformes, Pipridae. The transcript is spliced from 3 exons.